This 524-nucleotide ribosomal RNA is filed under the name Gluma nitida. Its description in RNAcentral is "partial 16S ribosomal RNA". It matches the Rfam family "Bacterial large subunit ribosomal RNA", at positions 1811 to 2606 of the family's 2925-position model. The record is from RNAcentral. Lineage: Eukaryota; Metazoa; Arthropoda; Insecta; Diptera; Coelopidae.
AAACAUGUCUUUUUGUAUUAAAUUUAAAGUCUAACCUGCCCACUGAUAAGUUAAAUGGCCGCAGUAUUCUAACUGUGCAAAGGUAGCAUAAUCAUUAGUCUUUUAAUUGAAGGCUUGUAUGAAUGGUUGGACGAGAUAUUAACUGUUUCAAUUAAAGUUUUUAUAGAAUUUUAUUUUUUAGUCAAAAAGCUAAAAUGUUAUUAAAAGACGAGAAGACCCUAUAAAUCUUUAUACUAAACUGGUUUUGAUCAUAUAGAUAAAUUAGAUUAUUAUUAAAUUUAGUAUUUUAUUGGGGUGAUAUUAAAAUUUAAUUAACUUUUAAUAAUGGAAGACAUUUAUUUAUGAAUAAUUGAUCCGUUUUUAGUGAUUAGAAAUUUAAGUUACUUUAGGGAUAACAGCGUAAUUUUUCUGGAGAGUUCAUAUCGAUAGAAAAGAUUGCGACCUCGAUGUUGGAUUAAGAUACAGACUUGGGCGUAGCAGUUCAAGUUUUAAGUCUGUUCGACUUUUUAAAUCUUACAUGAUCU